RNAcentral lists this ribosomal RNA (455 nucleotides) under uncultured bacterium. RNAcentral's name for it is "bacterial SSU rRNA". It matches the Rfam family "Bacterial small subunit ribosomal RNA", at positions 340 to 786 of the family's 1533-position model. The record is from RNAcentral.
UACGGGAGGCAGCAGUGGGGAAUAUUGCACAAUGGGCGCAAGCCUGAUGCAGCCAUGCCGCGUGUAUGAAGAAGGCCUUCGGGUUGUAAAGUACUUUCAGUCGUGAGGAAGGUGUUAAGGUUAAUAACCUUAGCAAUUGACGUUAGCGACAGAAGAAGCACCGGCUAACUCCGUGCCAGCAGCCGCGGUAAUACGGAGGGUGCGAGCGUUAAUCGGAAUUACUGGGCGUAAAGGGCGCGCAGGCGGUUAAUUAAGUUGGAUGUGAAAUCCCCGGGCUUAACCUGGGAAUGGCAUUCAAGACUGGUUAGCUAGAGUCUUGUAGAGGGGGUAGAAUUCCAUGUGUAGCGGUGAAAUGCGUAGAGAUGUGGAGGAAUACCGGGUGGCGAAGGCGGCCCCUGGGACAAAGACUGACGCUCAUGUGCGAAAGCGUGGGGAGCAAACAGGGAUUAGAUACC